GACGGAGGGCGCGAGCGUUGCUCGGAAUCACUGGGCGUAAAGCGCGUGUAGGCGGGUGAUCAAGUCAGGUGUGAAAUCCCUGGGCUCAACCCAGGAACUGCAUCUGAAACUGGUCGCCUUGAGUGCUGGAGAGGGAAGCGGAAUUCCUGGUGUAGAGGUGAAAUUCGUAGAUAUCAGGAGGAACACCGGUGGCGAAGGCGGCUUCCUGGACAGUUACUGACGCUGAGACGCGAAAGCGUGGGGAGCAAACAGG
This 253-nucleotide unclassified non-coding RNA is filed under the name uncultured Sandaracinaceae bacterium. RNAcentral's name for it is "contains 16S-23S intergenic spacer region". It matches the Rfam family "Bacterial small subunit ribosomal RNA", at positions 524 to 776 of the family's 1533-position model. Lineage: Bacteria; Pseudomonadati; Myxococcota; Polyangiales; Sandaracinaceae. The record is from RNAcentral.